This is a long non-coding RNA of Vicia villosa (hairy vetch), 4906 nucleotides long. RefSeq lists it as uncharacterized. The record is from RefSeq and is a predicted model, not a curated record. The transcript has 3 exons. Lineage: Eukaryota; Viridiplantae; Streptophyta; Magnoliopsida; Fabales; Fabaceae.
AAAGAAGGGAGGCUAGGGUUUGUGAAGAGGAGAAAAGGGGACCCAAAAGUGUUGCUCUAAAGUGCAUUUUUUUCUCAAAAUCUCCAUUGAUUCUCCUUAAAGCUGCAUUCAAUCUAAGGUAAUCCAGAUGAGUAGCUGUUUCCGCUUAUAGUUGAGUUAUGGGUGUCAUUGCUCUGAUACGUAGCACUUGGGGGGGGGGGAAAUGAACACUUGCUUGAUGUUUUUAUUUGUUUAUUGAACCUUAUGAUGUAUUUGAGGAGUUGUUUGUAUUGUUGCUUUUUAUGACUUAAAAGAUGCUAUGUCUUAAUUGUUGAAUCAUUGUGAAUCUGUUGCAUGUUGAACCUAAGUUUGGGUUAUGCUACGAAUACUAUGUUAUUCAGAAGUUGAGAUAUAUGUUAUGAGUUUGUUCACUCCAAUCCUGAUAGUGUUAUGUAUUAGUUUAAAAAAAAAAGCAUGACAGGUUUAUGUUUAUGUUGAAUGUGUGACAUCCUGAUUCUGUUGAGAAUUUUUAUACUCUGAUUUUUCCGCAUAAAUGCUUGGGGUAGAUUUGGGGUGUUACAUUAGUGGUAUCAGAGCAGGUCGGUCCGUCCGACCAAGUCGUCGAGUCAGUUGAGUUAUGUGAUAGUUGAAUUCUGUCAGUGUUUUAUUCUUUAGUACGCGACACGUGUGAAACACUGUUGGUACUUAUUUGUUUUGUUGCAGGAAGUAGUUUGAGCAAAGUGGGGGAGAAGUUGUGCUUCUCGGUUAUGUUUCGGUUGUAAGUUAUUGGCGCAAUGUAUUGCUUAAGGAGGCAGUGCAUGUAUUGUUGGAGCUUGUUGACAUGGAUUCAUGGUUUUGGUUGUUUAACAAGCUUGGAGCGUCUGUAGAAGGAGAAUGAUCAAUAAUUAUUGACGUUUACUCUUCGAAGGAUGAGGAACAGUGUUGCAGUUGUUGAUAUGCAAGUAUGGUGCAAACUCAUGAUGUUUCGGGAGGUAACAGUUAAGUACCAAGAAUAAAUCCUAGAAGAUGGAAUUUAGAAAUUUGUUGUGUUCAGCAUUGUGGAUGAACUAUGAAGUUGUCAGUGCGAUUAGCCAUGUGAAAGGUACCGGUGUUGGAAAAAUGAUAGAGUGAUGAAGUUGUGGUGGACUUUAUGUGGGACUCGCAUAAGUGAUUGUUGGAUAUCCGAUUUGAAGCGUCGGAAAGAGAACAAGGUGAAUUUUAAUACAAGAAUGGAUGCCGCAACUGUAAGUAGAUUUAUUUGUGACAAGAUGGUGUUGGAAAGUGGUGAAGUUAGCGGUUACACUUGUCCUUGGAAAACGGACUUGUGCGUUAGUAUCACGCAGAAUGUUAGUGUCAGAGAUGACCGAAUUGAAGAAGCAAUUAGAAGGUUUGUUGAGGAGAAAUUUUAAGAUCAAGUGUGUCAUUUGAAGAGUUUGAGAGAUAUCCUAUGGAUUAUCGCAGCAUGACGUUGAUGUUUGUAUUUCGGAUAACGUUGGAGAAUUAUAUCUUGAGUUUCAAGUGUCGGAUUGACGUACCGUUUGAGCCUACAAAGAGGUGAGACUAUAAUCUACCUUAUAGGAGUGUUAUGGAUAUAGUAGAAGUGAAUCCUGUUGAAUAUAAAUGGUUAUUGCCACAAUUGUCCGAAACAAAGUUAAGCCGAGCAUGUUGUUGUGAAGUAGUCUUGUGUAAGCUGUUGACGAAAGAACAACAAUUAAGCGAAAUAUUGUUAUAGGCCUUGUUGUAGGACUAUUGAUAAGUGAUUGGAACUGUGGUAGAAGCUGUCAGAGUUGUUGAAACAUUAUGGAUCGCGAGUAAGAGUUGGAAAUGCGAAGAGAUGAGCAUAAUUUCAAUGAUAAGAAGUGUUGAUGAUGGUGUAGAGAAAUUUUGUUCUAAUGUAUCGUCAGAGGUGUUUUAGUAGGUAGCUGCAAGACGUCGGUGUUAGCAGGUUCGGAUGGUUUUGCGAUUUGUUGAAGUAUGGUACUUUGGUGACGUAAGUUCAAUUUCUAAAGGAACACUAUUAUAGUUGGUAAUGAUGGUUAUACUCCAUUAUGAUUGUCGACUGUCUAUUGACAAAUUGAGGACUUGAUCACCCUUAAUCUCUUGUUGAUAGUAGACGAAAUUGUAUUGAAUGUUAUAGACUUAUCUUACUAUCUUGAUGGUGCAUAAAAGGUGUGAAUUUUGAGGAAAGACUGAAACUUGGUUUAAGCUUGUGAAUCGUAUAAGUUGAUAGAAACCCUAAUAAAGGACGGUGAAUUAAAGUGGAUGAUCAGAGUUGCGCAGCUGAAGCAUGUUGUGCCAGAUGUAUUGUGUUUUCUUGUGAAUAGUGUUGAUUGUAGCAGGAUGUUCUUGUAAGUUGUUGUUGGUUAAUGAUGAGUUAUAAGAUUAUUAGUCGAGUUAUGUUAUUAGGAUGACAUUAUGAUACUUUUGUAGCUGUAACGUUGUUGUUGGUGCUUCGUUAGUAAAUGACACCUGAGUAUGGAAAAUAAGAAUCGUAUAUGUGUAUCAGUGUCGAGUAUGUUGUUGCGAUGAUGAAGCAAUGUUGUAUCGUCAAGUAUGAGCGAGUGAAGAUUGUUGCUACGUCGUAAGAUGUUGUUCCAAGAUAUUGCUGAAAUGAUUGGCAAGUUAGUAACGAUUAUGUUGCAAGGAUAAUUGAGAGGUUGACGUAUGAGUUUUGAAUUCAAGUCGUGUAGAGAUAUGAAUAUAUCGGAAAAAGUAAUAGUUGGAGUGUUGUCAAGUGCAACUUGAGAAUGAGAAAGUUGGAUGAGGACACGAUGUUAGGGAUGGUUGUGUUGGACAAAUUUUCGAGGACGAAAAUAUCCUAAGUGGGGGAGAGUUGUAACGCCCCGAAUUUAAUUAAUUGGUUAAUUAAAUUAUUAAAGUAUUUAAAUAUUGGAUUUAGUCGAAAUUGGAUGGUCGGUAUUAUUUUAAGAGGCGUAUUUUGAUUUAUUAAGUUAAAGUUGGAUUUUAGUCAGAUAAUCGGAAGAAUAAUAUUAAGAAUAAUAUUAUUCAAUUGUUGGAAUUUUUAUCGUCAAAGUCGGAAUUAUUUUAUUAAGUCGGUAUAUUAAAAUAAUCGGAAUUUAUUUUAAUGGAGUUUAAGUGGAAGUAUUACUUUUAUAUUAAGUGUGGAAAUAAUAUUGGGCUUGAAUAAUGGUGUUACUAUAUAUUAAGGGGUAUAAUUUAAUUAGGCCCAUUAGGUGUGGUAACCAAGUGGUGGUGGCACUUUAUCAUUUUAGAAAAAGAAAAAGCAUAGUAAUAGAAAUAGAAAGAGAACCGAGGAAGAGAAAGGAAAAAUAAAGAAGGGAGGCUAGGGUUUGUGAAGAGGAGAAAAGGGGACCCAAAAGUGUUGCUCUAAAGUGCAUUUUUUUCUCAAAAUCUCCAUUGAUUCUCCUUAAAGCUGCAUUCAAUCUAAGGUAAUCCAGAUGAGUAGCUGUUUCCGCUUAUAGUUGAGUUAUGGGUGUCAUUGCUCUGAUACGUAGCACUUGGGGGGGGGGGGGAAAUGAACACUUGCUUGAUGUUUUUAUUUGUUUAUUGAACCUUAUGAUGUAUUUGAGGAGUUGUUUGUAUUGUUGCUUUUUAUGACUUAAAAGAUGCUAUGUCUUAAUUGUUGAAUCAUUGUGAAUCUGUUGCAUGUUGAACCUAAGUUUGGGUUAUGCUACGAAUACUAUGUUAUUCAGAAGUUGAGAUAUAUGUUAUGAGUUUGUUCACUCCAAUCCUGAUAGUGUUAUGUAUUAGUUUUAAAAAGAAGCAUGAGAGGUUUAUGUUUAUGUUGAAUGUGUGACAUCCUGAUUCUGUUGAGAAUUUUUAUACUCUGAUUUUUCCGCAUAAAUGCUUGGGGUAGAUUUGGGGUGUUACAGAAAUCUUUCUCCUACUUUUAACCGUUGAUCUGUUUGGGUGUAUGGAUCAUAGAAAAUAUCAGUCGAUGGUUCGUCAUCCCCAUCAAAAUUCAGGUUCCUCAUGUGCACUGGAGGCAUAUGCACUUGAUCUCGUGGUACAACAACUUCCGGUUCAUCUUCACUUUCCUCGUUUACCAGGUUAUCAACUUCUAUUUCUGGUGCUUCUUCUUCUUCAUCUACAACGUCGACCUCUGCUUGCUCGCCUCCAAGUACAUCAAUCACCUGUGACUCAACCAUCUGUGUGGGUUGAACUUCUGGUAUAGUAACAUACAGUUCUAUGCAUUCGUAACCAGAAUACUCAUGAUUGGCAAACAUAUUCUGCAUGUCUUCAUCGUCUUUGAUCUCAACUUGGAUAAACUUGACCGGGUUGUCCCCACGAAGAAAUCGAUAUUGGUAAAAAAUUUGGGAUACAUCACCCAAUGCAAGCUUCGUCUCUAAUCUCUGUUUGAAGUAAUUGAAAUUUGCUUUUCUGCUUAAACAAAAUCGUUUAACCUCGGUGUUUCUAAACAGAAAACCAACUUCUUCGUUAUCAUAUGUCUCGCCAAAAACAUGAGCGUUGAUAAUGUAUUGUGGAGGGGCCAUUGUUGAGUGGGUAGAGAGUGUUAUUUCAGAUGUGAAAUGAGAUGUGUAAUUAGUUGUGUUUCUUUCCACAUUAGAGGCUUCCUUUAUGUAGACGAUCGUUGAAUGAUGACAAUUAUGAAGACGAAUAAUGUACAAUCACAUGCGUACUGAGCUGUGAACUGGUGAACUGCUGCACUGCUGCACCCCAGACUGCUGCACAGUUGAUUUGAGGUAUGCAUGGAACUGCUGCACAACUGCACAGUCGACUUGACCAGACACAACCACACUGAGCAGUGCCUACUGUACAAUCACAUGCGAAUAAAGUUGACGGAAAAUGAAUGCCUUAGUUGAUUUUAUUUGAGGUGUGCUUGACACUGGUGAACUACAGUUUUGCCGACUUGACCAGACACAACCAUACUGAACAAUGCAUACUGUACAAUCACAUGCGAAUACUCGGUGAAACAGCAACAAGA